RNAcentral lists this ribosomal RNA (419 nucleotides) under Salmonella enterica. Its description in RNAcentral is "bacterial SSU rRNA". It matches the Rfam family "Bacterial small subunit ribosomal RNA", at positions 1103 to 1522 of the family's 1533-position model. Lineage: Bacteria; Pseudomonadati; Pseudomonadota; Gammaproteobacteria; Enterobacterales; Enterobacteriaceae. RNAcentral also lists the same sequence under 3 other names. The record is from RNAcentral.
CCUUAUCCUUUGUUGCCAGCGAUUAGGUCGGGAACUCAAAGGAGACUGCCAGUGAUAAACUGGAGGAAGGUGGGGAUGACGUCAAGUCAUCAUGGCCCUUACGACCAGGGCUACACACGUGCUACAAUGGCGCAUACAAAGAGAAGCGACCUCGCGAGAGCAAGCGGACCUCAUAAAGUGCGUCGUAGUCCGGAUUGGAGUCUGCAACUCGACUCCAUGAAGUCGGAAUCGCUAGUAAUCGUGGAUCAGAAUGCCACGGUGAAUACGUUCCCGGGCCUUGUACACACCGCCCGUCACACCAUGGGAGUGGGUUGCAAAAGAAGUAGGUAGCUUAACCUUCGGGAGGGCGCUUACCACUUUGUGAUUCAUGACUGGGGUGAAGUCGUAACAAGGUAACCGUAGGGGAACCUGCGGUUGGA